ACUGGCUGGCUUUGAAGCUCUAAAAGGCCCUGUAAGAUGGAUGGACUAAAUCAAGACGUCAUGGCGCAUGUGAAUGGCACACAUGGAAAGGGAAGAGAAGAAAAAAGAAACGAAGAUACCUAGAUUCCAAGGUAGUGCUCAUUGACACAUCAGCGCAGGUUUGCUCUGUAAGCUCUGUACCUGCACAAGAUGCUGCCACCUCUACGGAGCCUCCCUGGAUUUCCCAACCACAUUCUAGACGUCUCUACAGAAAUCCUCCAUUGUCCAAACAGAAUAUCAGUUAGUGGAAUUAAAAUCUUGUCCCCA
This is a long non-coding RNA of Mastomys coucha (southern multimammate mouse), 306 nucleotides long. RefSeq lists it as uncharacterized. The record is from RefSeq and is a predicted model, not a curated record. The transcript is spliced from 2 exons. NCBI's taxonomy places the organism in Eukaryota, Metazoa, Chordata, Mammalia, Rodentia, Muridae.